RNAcentral lists this transfer RNA (76 nucleotides) under Rhodospirillales bacterium. Its description in RNAcentral is "tRNA-Phe". It matches the Rfam family "tRNA". Rfam says of the family: Transfer RNA (tRNA) molecules are approximately 80 nucleotides in length. Their secondary structure includes four short double-helical elements and three loops (D, anti-codon, and T loops). The record is from RNAcentral. Lineage: Bacteria; Pseudomonadati; Pseudomonadota; Alphaproteobacteria; Rhodospirillales.
GCCCAGGUAGCUCAGGUGGUAGAGCAGUGGACUGAAAAUCCUCGUGUCGGUGGUUCAAAUCCGCCCCUGGGCACCA